CUGCCAUCAGAAGUGCCAUCAGAAGCUCAGAGGGAGAGGCUGCUGAAGAAGUUCAAACUCUACAACUGCAGCAAGACAUUUUUGAAUGGUGCUCCUGUGAAAACUGUGCAACCAUGCCCACAGAAGCUGAGAAUAUCUGCUGCUAGGAGAUACCACAGGUUACCAGACGGCUAUAGGAGAUCGAGGAAGAAUUAACAUGUAUGGUACACCAUCCUGGGUUGGAGCCACUCUGUCUCAAUUUGUACUCCCUCCAGAAUGCCUGCAACAUAUACGCUGACACAUAUACGCG
This is a long non-coding RNA of Seriola aureovittata, 289 nucleotides long. RefSeq lists it as uncharacterized. The transcript has 3 exons. NCBI's taxonomy places the organism in Eukaryota, Metazoa, Chordata, Actinopteri, Carangiformes, Carangidae. The record is from RefSeq and is a predicted model, not a curated record.